GCCGUCGUAGCUCAGUUGGUAGAGCGCCUGCUUUGUAUCCAGGAUGUCAGGGGUUCGAGGCCUCUCGACGGCACCA
RNAcentral lists this transfer RNA (76 nucleotides) under Roseibium sp. RKSG952. RNAcentral describes it as "tRNA-Thr". It matches the Rfam family "tRNA". Rfam says of the family: Transfer RNA (tRNA) molecules are approximately 80 nucleotides in length. Their secondary structure includes four short double-helical elements and three loops (D, anti-codon, and T loops). The record is from RNAcentral. Lineage: Bacteria; Pseudomonadati; Pseudomonadota; Alphaproteobacteria; Hyphomicrobiales; Stappiaceae.